GGUUACUGCUAUAUUAAUAAUUGUAGUUGUUUUCUUUUUUGCUUUAAACUUUUUCGUUGUUGUUUAAAUAUGAACAUUUUCUGUUGGUAUUGUUGAUUAAUUUGACAUUCAACUGAUGUAGCAAUUUAUGUGGAUGUGACUAUUUUUUUAAAGUGUAAAAGUAUUGCUUUAUGGAAGUUAUAGAAACUUUUCAUGUUAGACAGAAACUUAUAGUUCAUUUUUAGUGUUUAAUAAUGUAGUGCUAAUGUCAAUACUACUAAACUAUUUGUUUGAGAAAAUGGACAAAUAAAAAUACAGCAAAACUCUAUUAAUAAUGUUGGCAUUAUAUAAAUUAAUUAAUUUACAGAAUUAUUAAUUUUUAAAAAAUAAUUUUUAAAUAUAUA
This 383-nucleotide long non-coding RNA is filed under the name Brassica napus (rape). RNAcentral's name for it is "long non-coding RNA (BNAP_LNC000336)". Lineage: Eukaryota; Viridiplantae; Streptophyta; Magnoliopsida; Brassicales; Brassicaceae. The record is from RNAcentral.